AAUAUUGGACAAUGGGCGAAAGCCUGAUCCAGCCAUCCCGCGUGUGCGAUGAAGGCCUUCGGGUUGUAAAGCACUUUUGGCAGGGAAGAAAAGGCGCGGGCUAAUACCCGGCGCCGCUGACGGUACCUGCAGAAUAAGCACCGGCUAACUUCGUGCCAGCAGCCGCGGUAAUACGUAGGGGGCAAGCGUUGUCCGGAAUUAUUGGGCGUAAAGGGUGCGUAGGCGGCUUUUUAAGUCAGAUGUGAAAGACCACGGCUUAACCGUGGGGUUGCAUUUGAAACUGGAAGGCUUGAGUAUCGGAGAGGGUAGUGGAAUUCCCAGUGUAGCGGUGAAAUGCGUAGAUAUAGGAAGGAACACCAGUGGCGAAGGCGACUACCUGGACUGAUACUGACACUGAGGUGCGAAAGCGUGGGAGCAAAC
Molecule: ribosomal RNA, 420 nt
Filed under: uncultured bacterium
Lineage: Bacteria
Description: partial 16S ribosomal RNA
Rfam family: Bacterial small subunit ribosomal RNA
Source: RNAcentral